RNAcentral lists this non-coding RNA (956 nucleotides) under Hyphessobrycon amapaensis. RNAcentral's name for it is "12S ribosomal RNA". It matches the Rfam family "Bacterial small subunit ribosomal RNA". Lineage: Eukaryota; Metazoa; Chordata; Actinopteri; Characiformes; Acestrorhamphidae. The record is from RNAcentral.
CAAAAGCUUGGUCCUGGCUUUACUAUCAGCUAUCGCUCAACUUAUACAUGCAAGUAUCCGCACCCCCGUGAGAAUGCCCUCAAUCCCCCACCCGAGGACGAGGAGCUGGCAUCAGGCACACACAUCCUAGCCCAAGACGCCUUGCUACGCCACACCCCCAAGGGAACUCAGCAGUGAUAAACAUUAAGCCAUAAGUGAAAACUUGACUUAAUUAGAGCCUAUAUUAGGGGUUGGUAAAAUUCGUGCCAGCAACCGCGGUUAUACGAAGGACCCCAGUUGAUAGAUGCGGCGUAAAGAGUGGUUAGGGGUACAAAACUUAAUAAAGCCAAACUACCUCCAGGCCGUUAAUAAGCACUACGAGAUAAUGAAGCCCAAUAACGAAAGUAACUUUAUUUAUACCUGAACCCACGAAAGCUAAGAAACAAACUGGGAUUAGAUACCCCAUUAUGCUUAGCCUUAAACUCAGAUAUUUUAACUACAAGAAAUAUCCGCCAGGUUACUACGAGCGUAAGCUUAAAAACCAAAGGACUUGACGGUGUCUCAGACCCACCUAGAGGAGCCUGUCCUAGAACCGAUAAUCCACGUUUAACCUCACCACCCCUUGUUAACCCCGCCUAUAUACCGCCGUCGCAAGCUUACCUUUUAAGAGGUCAACAGUAAGCAUAAUGGGUUUAAACCCAAAACGUCAGGUCGAGGUGUAGCUUAUGAGGUGGGAAGAGAUGGGCUACAUUUUCUAAGUCAGAAAAUACGAAUUGAGUUAUGAAACUAACCCCUGAAGGUGGAUUUAGAAGUAAAAAUAAAACAGAGGGUUAUUUUGAACCAGGCUCUGAGAUGCGCACACACCGCCCGUCACUCUCCCCAACAAAUACUCGUGCAGUAAAUAACCAAAUAAAUUUCAUACACGGGGAGAUAAGUCGUAACACGGUAAGUAUACCGGAAGGUGUACUUGGAGAAUC